ACCAUUUUCAAGUCAUGAAUACAUAUUUCAAGCAUCAACACUAAACCAAUUUCAAGUCAUGAAUUCACAUUUUCAAGUGAUUACACUUUAUAAAUUUCAAAACACAAGUUCACCUUUCAAGAACUACGCUAAACCAUUUUGAAGUCACUAAUCCACUUUUCAAGUGACUAGUACACAUUUCAAAACACUACACUUAACCAUUUUCAACUCUCUAGUUCACUUCUCAAAUGACUAAACUUAACCAUUUUCAAGUCAUGAAUUCACAUUUUCAAGUGAUUACACUUUAUAAAUUUCAAAACACAAGUUCACCUUUCAAGAACUAUGCUAAACCAUUUUCAAGUCGCUAAUCCACUUUUCAAGUGACUAGUACACAUUUCAAAACACUACACUUAACCAUUUUCAACUCUCUAGUUCACUUCUCAAAUACCUAAAUUUAACCAUUUUCAAGUCAUGAAUUCACAUUUCAAGUAUCAACACUAAACCAAUUU
Molecule: long non-coding RNA, 488 nt
Filed under: Capsicum annuum
Lineage: Eukaryota; Viridiplantae; Streptophyta; Magnoliopsida; Solanales; Solanaceae
Description: long non-coding RNA (CANN_LNC003153)
Source: RNAcentral